RNAcentral lists this transfer RNA (83 nucleotides) under Daphnia magna. It matches the Rfam family "tRNA". Rfam says of the family: Transfer RNA (tRNA) molecules are approximately 80 nucleotides in length. Their secondary structure includes four short double-helical elements and three loops (D, anti-codon, and T loops). Lineage: Eukaryota; Metazoa; Arthropoda; Branchiopoda; Diplostraca; Daphniidae. The record is from Rfam by way of RNAcentral.
GCAGAUGGUGCCGCGUGGUUAAGGAGACUGACUAGAAAUCAGUUUCCCUUUCGGGAGCGUAGGUUCGAAUCCUACCAUCUGCG